This 482-nucleotide ribosomal RNA is filed under the name uncultured bacterium. Its description in RNAcentral is "bacterial SSU rRNA". It matches the Rfam family "Bacterial small subunit ribosomal RNA", at positions 30 to 506 of the family's 1533-position model. The record is from RNAcentral.
UUGAACGCUGGCGGAAUGCUUUACACAUGCAAGUCGAGGGGCAGCACGGGUAGCAAUACUUGGUGGCGACCGGCGCAAGGGUGCGUAACGCGUGAGCAACAUGCCCGUAUCAGGGGAAUAAUCCAGGGAAACUUGGUCUAAUACCCCAUAGCAAUUGGAGGAGGCAUCUUUUUCAAUUUAAAGCUUUGGUGGAUACGGAUUGGCUCGCGUGACAUUAGCUAGAUGGUAAGGUAACGGCUUACCAUGGCUACGAUGUCUAGGGGUUCUGAGAGGAAGAUCCCCCACACUGGAACUGAGACACGGUCCAGACUCCUACGGGAGGCAGCAGUGAGGAAUAUUGGACAAUGGAUGGAAAUCUGAUCCAGCCAUGCCGCGUGCAGGAAGACGGCCCUAUGGGUUGUAAACUGCUUUUGUGUGGGAGCAAUAAGGUCUAUGCGUAGACUGAUGAGAGUACCAUACGAAUAAGCAUCGGCUAACUCCGU